GCAGUAGCCACGGUAAUACGUAGGUGGCAAGCGUUGUCCGGAAUUAUUGGGCGUAAAGGGCUCGCAGGCGGUUUCUUAAGUCUGAUGUGAAAGCCCCCGGCUCAACCGGGGAGGGUCAUUGGAAACUGGGAAACUUGAGUGCAGAAGAGGAGAGUGGAAUUCCACGUGUAGCGGUGAAAUGCGUAGAGAUGUGGAGGAACACCAGUGGCGAAGGCGACUCUCUGGUCUGUAACUGACGCUGAGGAGCGAAAGCGUGGGGAGCGAACAGGAUUAGAUACCCGCGUAGUCCCUGUCUCUUAUAC
This 302-nucleotide ribosomal RNA is filed under the name uncultured bacterium. RNAcentral describes it as "partial 16S ribosomal RNA". It matches the Rfam family "Bacterial small subunit ribosomal RNA", at positions 508 to 807 of the family's 1533-position model. The record is from RNAcentral.